Tachyglossus aculeatus (Australian echidna) is the source of this 138-nucleotide small nucleolar RNA. NCBI's taxonomy places the organism in Eukaryota, Metazoa, Chordata, Mammalia, Monotremata, Tachyglossidae. The record is from RefSeq and is a predicted model, not a curated record.
AGCCUCUCAGGAUCGCACCUGGAGAAUUUCCAGUACACGACCAGUCUCAGCUACAGGAGGGAGAGUCAAGCAGAGGCAUGCCCAUUCCAGUCCUAGCUUGGUCAGUGGCUAUCGAGUGGAAGGCAAUCUGCUACAAAU